CAGCCGCCACGGGAAUACGAAGGGGGCUAGCGUUGCUCGGAAUUACUGGGCGUAAAGGGCGCGUAGGCGGACAGUUAAGUUGGGGGUGAAAGCCCGGGGCUCAACCUCGGAAUUGCCUUCAAUACUGGCUGUCUUGAGUAUGAGAGAGGUGUGUGGAACUCCGAGUGUAGAGGUGAAAUUCGUAGAUAUUCGGAAGAACACCAGUGGCGAAGGCGACACACUGGCUCAUUACUGACGCUGAGGCGCGAAAGCGUGGGGAGCAAACAGGAUUAGAUACCCGAGUAGUCCCUGUCUCUUAUAC
RNAcentral lists this ribosomal RNA (301 nucleotides) under uncultured bacterium. Its description in RNAcentral is "partial 16S ribosomal RNA". It matches the Rfam family "Bacterial small subunit ribosomal RNA", at positions 509 to 807 of the family's 1533-position model. The record is from RNAcentral.